Molecule: ribosomal RNA, 383 nt
Filed under: uncultured bacterium
Lineage: Bacteria
Description: bacterial SSU rRNA
Rfam family: Bacterial small subunit ribosomal RNA
Source: RNAcentral
GUGGCGGACGGGUGAGUAACGCGUGGGUAACCUGCCUUAUACAGGGGGAUAACAACCAGAAAUGGUUGCUAAUACCGCAUAAGCGCACAGGACCGCAUGGUCCGGUGUGAAAAACUCCGGUGGUAUAAGAUGGACCCGCGUUGGAUUAGCUAGUUGGCAGGGUAACGGCCUACCAAGGCGACGAUCCAUAGCCGGCCUGAGAGGGUGAACGGCCACAUUGGGACUGAGACACGGCCCAGACUCCUACGGGAGGCAGCAGUGGGGAAUAUUGCACAAUGGGGGAAACCCUGAUGCAGCGACGCCGCGUGAAGGAAGAAGUAUCUCGGUAUGUAAACUUCUAUCAGCAGGGAAGAUAGUGACGGUACCUGACUAAGAAGCCCCGG